AAUGAACUUAUUUGCAGAACAGAAGCAGACUCACAGGCUUUGAAGGCAAACUUAUGGUUACUAAAGGGUUACUCUAUCCAUCACAGAGAGAACAAAACUGAGACUCAGGACAUGAAGUACUAGCUGGUGGGCAGAGCUGGGAAUCAGAGGGUUCCCUAGAGCUAGGUACUGGCAUUUAUCUCAGGGGUGAGCCAGCAACUGGCUCCAGGGAGGCAUCCGGCAGAACACCUGGUCCAGGCUGUCCUUAUUUAACACCUAUUCUUAAUAACUUGGAAGCAAGCAAGCUCUGUGGGUGCUGCAAAGACUGGAGGCGGAAACCAGAGCAGACGUCCAAAGGAGCUGGUGCAGGCACGAGGGAAGAACUGAGAUCGUGUGGGGAAGUACAAACCAAACUAGCCACAGGGAGCUGAUCCACAGCAAAGGCAGAGCGGUCAGGAGAGAAAGGACAGCUGACAGAUUGAAAAGGGACGGAUGGACUCUGUAACGUGAUGAGGCAGCCUCGAGACCAAGGCUAUUCUGGGCUGCACUCACUAGAGCUGUGAAGUAGAGGCAGGGCCUGCUCCCUGCUUCAUGUUUCCAGAGACAUACACACUCUUCGAUAUUGAUUCCAUGACACAUGCACAUGCACACACACUUAGUUACUGAGCCCAUCUCUCUCUCUCACAGACACACACUCUCACACACACACACACACACACACACUCUUUGAUAUUGAUCCCAUGACACAUAUGCACAUGCACACACAAUUCUAUACUGAGCCCAUAUCUCUCUCUCUCUCUCACACACACACACACAUACACACAUUAAUGCUAACCCCCAUAAAACACAUACAAACACACAAAACUUUGAUAUUGACUCCCCCUCACACACACACAAACACUUUGAUACUGACCCCAUUGCUCUCUCUCCCUUACACACACACACACACACACACACACACACACACUUUAAUGCUGACCCAAUAAAAUACACGCAGUUUGAUACUGACCCCCAAACACACAUGCAUAUAUUUUGGUACUUACCCCUUGACAAAUAUGCACCUACAUAUAUACACACACACUUUGAUUCUGACCCCAUGACACACACACACUUUGAUGCUAACUCCAUCACACACACACACACUUUGACAGUGACCUCCAUGAAACACACACGUUUUGACAUUGACUCUCAUGACACUCACAAUAUACAUACACACACACACAUUUUGAUAUGGACUACCACCACACCCCAUGAAUCUUUUUAACUUUCUUCCUUUCUAGGUUUUACCGGUGCAUUUCCUACUGUCUUUAAAAGCAGUUGUGGGGCUAUUGCACUUGUAGAAUGUGCAUGUAGUUGGGAGUGGAUGGGGAGGCAGCAAGUAAGUAACUGAAUGAAGUAGCACUCAGCCACCCUGAUGAGUUAGUCCUAAGUUCCAGAAGACCUGUCUUUAGUUGGAAGCUCUGAUCCUUCAUCCAGAGGCAAUGCAGCCUAGCGGUAAAAAGCAGGAGCCUCCUAAAUAGACAUUUCUCCAAAGACAUACAGGUGGCCAGCAGGCACAUGAAAAAAUGCUCAAUAUCACUAAUUAUUGGAGGAAUGCAUAUAAAAACUAUAGUGAGGUACCACCUCACACCAGUCAGAAUGGCCAACAUUAAUAAGUCCACAAAUUACAAAUGCUGGAGAGGGUGUGGAGAAAAGGGAACACUCCUACACUGUUGCUGGGAAUUUAAACUGGUACAACCAUUAUGGAAAACAAUACAGAAGUUCCUCAGAAAAUUAAAUAUAGAAUUAGAUGUAUCAGGAUAAAACUUUCAUUCAAAAAGAUACAUGCACCCCUAUGUUCAUUGAACACUAUUCACAAUAGCCAAAACAUGGAAACAACCCAAAUGUCCAUUGACAGCUGAAUAGAUUAAGAUGACGUGGUACAGGGAGUUCCUGUCAUGGCUCAGUGGAAACAAAUUUGACUAGCAUCCAUGAGGACGUGGGUUUGAUCCCUGACCUUGCUCAGUGGGUUGGGGACCCAGUUUUGCUGUGAGCUGUGGUGUGGGUCACAGACAUGGCUCAGAUCCCAUGUUGCUGAGGCUGUAGUGUAGGCCAGCAGCUACAGUUCUGAUUCAAUCCCUAACAUGGGAACUUCCAUAUGCCUCAGGUGUGGCCCUUAAAAAAAAAAAAAGGAUGAUGUGGUACAUAAUUUAUUCAAUGGAAUUCUACCUGGCCAUACAAAAGGACAAAAUAAUGCUAUUUGCAGCAACACAGAUGGAACUAGAGAUUCUCAUACUAGGUGAAUAAGAAAAAGACAAAUACCGUACAAUAUCACUUAUACGCGGUAUCUAAAAUAUGACACAAAUGAUCCUAUCUACAAAACAGAAACAGAUCAUGGACAUGGAGAGCAGGCUUGUGUUUGCCAGGGGGAGAGGGAAGAGAAGCGUAUAUGGACGGGGAGUUUGGGGUCGGUAGAUGCAAACUAUUACACUGAGAGCGGAUAAGUAAUGGGGUCCUACUGUACGGCACAGGGAACUGUGUACAGUCUCUUGGGUUAGAACAUGACGGAAGAUAGUAUUAGGAAAAGAAUAUAUAUAUAUGUCUGCCUGGGUCCUUUUGCUGUACAACAGAAAUUGAAGGAACAUUAUAAAUCAACGAUGCUUUAAUAAAAAAUUAGAAAAAGGAGUUCCCAUAGUGGCGCACUGGUUAAAUGGGCUCAGGGAUAUACUGGGCUUUAGAGCCAGGCAUACCUCUGUGCAUCUCUGAGUCUGGCACCGUGGAGAGGGUCCUCACACGUGGGCACCUUGGGAGGCAAAGCUUUGCUGUGUUCUGCCAAUCCCAAACACUGUGACCUCCUGUGCCUCCUGAGGCCUAAAGGACAUACUCACAUGUGACAAAGCAUACGGAUCAACUCAUCAAGACUGUGGGUCUGCCUGUGACCAGGCGAGGGGAAGAGAGGUGAGAGUCUCUGAGAGUUUCAUGUUUCUCCCUCUUUAUUUGAGGGACUUAUGCAAUGCCUGCCAGAAGCAAAAAGAUGGUUCUGGACACUUUCAGCAGGCUGUUUCCCGGGAAGAGGGAAGGAACACCUGUGGCAUCCCAGCUGGAAGGGCCCUCUGGGGUUGUGCAGGCCACCUCUCAAAAGUUCAAGAGCCAGCAAUGCUUGUCUGCAGUCCCUCACUAAGGUAGGUGACAGGCAAACCCACCACCAUCCUCAGACCUGUCAGCCAGGGCUUUCCACUCCCAAGUCCUAGGGGAAUAGGGUGAAUCUUGGAAUGUAAGAGAGACAAGCCAUCAGGAGAAUCUUUCUUUUUCAAACCCAAGCAAGGAAAAUCAGAGAGAGAGAGAAAAUUCAUUAUGCCAUUAUUUUCCAUCUGCAGAACUGACUAAGCAAAAUUAUGGACAGGCAAAGACUGAUCUUUCUCCUGAUCUAGAGCCUGAAUUUGUUCCUGUAGUUUUUGAUUUAUUCAAUUAAUAAAAUGCUUACAUGCCAUUUUUCCUUUAUAAUUAGCAGAUAGAUUUCUCCAAGAAAUGUCCCAAUGCCUGCACUUUUGAACUGAUUAUGACUCUCUGUGGGUGAUUUUUGUGCAUUUUGGAAUGUGAAUCAUUUGACAGCCCUUUUAAAAGUGUUUACUGGAGUUCCCGCUGUGGCGCAAUGGGAUCUGUGGCAUCUCUGCAGCACCAGAACAUGGGUUUGAUCCCUGGCCCAGCACAGUAGGUUAAAGGAUCUGCAUUGCUGCAGGUGUGGCAUAGGUCACAACUACCACUAGGAUCUGAUGCCUGGCCAGGGGAACUCCAUGUGCAGCAGGGCAGCCGAAAAGAGAAAACAGUUGUUUAUUGCUAAGGAUUGUAAUGUUCUCUCUCAGUAGAGAAGGAGGGUAUGGUCUCUCCUUCCCUUACCCUUUUCAUCUUUCUAGCAGGGAUGCUUGAGAAGCUGACCUGGCAAAUCCUUCUUUGAGAACAUUUCUUCACUUAGUUUUAUAUGAAAGAGAGGCUAAAACGUUUUGCCAGCUUCCAAGAAGACCAGUGGGGAAGACAGAGUUACUGCCACUCAGAAGCUGGUUAAGUGGUGUCCAGGCGCCUUUCACAUCAAAUAAGCAAGCCACGGUUCUCUCUGGCAUAGCACGUGCUCUAUGAGCUGUGCAAUCUCAGUAAGCCACAUAAACUCUCUGGAUAUCACCUUCCUUAUUUAACCAAUGGGAAUAUUCAUAGCUUUGUAUGGUUGUGGUGGGGGUGAAAUGGCAUAACGUGUGACAAAGGGCUUUGGAGAGGCAACAAACCAUACAGAUGCAAGGGAUAAAUUUUUUUUUCUCUUUAGGGCCGCACCCUCGGCAUAUGGCAGUCCCCAGGCUAGGGGUCGAAACAGAGCUACAGCUGCCAGCCUAUGCCACAGCCACAGCAAUGCAGGAUCCCAGCCGUAGCUGAGACCUACACCACAGCUAACAACAAUGCCGGAUCCUUAACCCACUGAACAAGGCCAGGAAUGGAACCUGCAUCCUCAUGGAUCCUAGUCGGGUUCGUAAACCACUGAGCUACAAAGGGAACUCCGAAAGGGGUAAUUUUUAUUCUGUUACAUCUGUCUAUCCUCAACUGGGAUCGGUCUGGAGAAUUUUAUUUCCCCAGAUGAAAACUUCUUUGCUUCCAAGUUAAAAUGGUUACAUUUCAUCAAGGACUGUGGGAUAAAGGCAUGGGUCUUCCACUCUCACUGACAAUGGAACUGUAUCUCUUGGAGACAAGACUGGAUGUUAUAUGUGUACCACUGGUACUAAAAACUUUUCUAGACAUUAGGUCCUUGGACUUAAAAAUCACUGCCUUAAAAAUGCUUUUCCUCUGCACUUUUGCAGAGCUGUUCUGCACCCACAGAGAGCUGGCCAGCAUGGAGCUCAGACACAGGAGUUCCAUGGAAUUUCAGACACAAGAUUUGCUUGUUGUCAGAGAAUAUUUCAUGAAAGUUGCAGGGACUUGAGGGGAUGGAGUCGAGAGGACUUCACGAUACUGACCAGUUUAUUCAGAGAAUCACAAACACUAAAUUUGGAAAGUUAUCUGGGCCAAACUCUUCAUUUUAAGAUGAGAAACUAUGGCUUAAAAUAGGUUAUCGUCUAUGCAGUUACUUUGGGAAAACAUACGUUUUUUUUUUUUUUUUCUGAUUUCCAGGCCAAUGUUCUUUCCAUUACAUCAUUAAUAAUAUAAACGGCAUCAACAAUGACCACAACAGGUACUGUUUAUUGCGUAGUGAGUAUGUGUUAGACAUUGUGCCAAGCUAUUGACAUCCAUUCGCCCACUUAACUCCUGCAGCAAACCAGUGAGACAGAUACCAUUCCCAUUUUGCAGAUGAGGAAAAUGAAGCUCAGAAACAUUCAUUAUUUUCCCAAAGUCGGAGUACUGAUAUUUAUAUCCAUCCACAGUAUCGAGAGCCAGUAGGGAUGUAUGUGUCAGGGGUUGGUGCUAUGGUUUACAUACAGCAGUGUCUACAUUUUCUUACAUUUAGAGAUGAAAAUGACUCCUUACCCCCCACAUAUCAGGGGCCCUCUGAAUUGAAAAGUCAUGCAAAACUUACCCUGAAGCGCAGCCUGAUUUCAUAUUGAUGAGAACUAACUGGAAAUGAGGGUGUGGAGUUUCCCCAUUCUUCCGCAUGGCAGGCUUUUAGAAUACAGACACGAGAUGAGUCAGAAGAGAAAUGUGCAGGCUCCAGGCCACAAUGGAAAUACUCAUUUCCCCAAUUGCUCAGCAGCAAAACAUUGAGGCCAACUCUUUUGUGUACGAAGGAUGUUAAAAAGCAUUUUUCAGUCUUAGCAUUGCUUUUAAAAUCAUUAAACCAACUUCUGUUGCACCUGCUGUGGUUUCAUGCUAAGAUCCUACACUCAGGCUUUUUCUCCUCUUGCUUUAUGGGAAGUAUGGUGGAAAAUCACCAGGCCAGCAAACCUCAGUUGCCACUAUAAAUUUUCCUACUCCUUAAACUUGCCUUCAUAUUUUUCCAAUUUUUGUUAAAAAGCAUGAUUCCCCUAUAACAUCUUGCCUCACU
This 5977-nucleotide long non-coding RNA is filed under the name Sus scrofa (pig). RNAcentral describes it as "lncRNA (ENSSSCG00005038722.1)". Lineage: Eukaryota; Metazoa; Chordata; Mammalia; Artiodactyla; Suidae. The record is from RNAcentral.